GGUUCUAUAGUGUAGCGGUUAUCACGGCCGGUUCUGAUCCGACCAACCCCGGUUCGAACCCGGGUAGGACCU
Molecule: transfer RNA, 72 nt
Filed under: Taphrina deformans PYCC 5710
Lineage: Eukaryota; Fungi; Ascomycota; Taphrinomycetes; Taphrinales; Taphrinaceae
Description: tRNA-Gln (CTG) (tRNA-Gln-CTG-1-1)
Rfam family: tRNA
About the family: Transfer RNA (tRNA) molecules are approximately 80 nucleotides in length.
Source: RNAcentral